UACGGAGGGCGCAAGCGUUGUUCGGAAUCACUGGGCGUAAAGCGCGUGUAGGCGGCUUGGUAAGUCGGGUGUGAAAGCCCGGAGCUCAACUCCGGAACUGCACUCGAAACUGCCUAGCUAGAGUCUCGGAGAGGAAGGUGGAAUGCUUGGUGUAGAGGUGAAAUUCGUAGAUAUUGGGUAGAACACCGGUGGCGAAGGCGGCCACCUGGCUCGCAACUGACGCUGAGGCGCGAAAGCGUGGGGAGCAAACAGG
RNAcentral lists this ribosomal RNA (253 nucleotides) under uncultured bacterium. Its description in RNAcentral is "partial 16S ribosomal RNA". It matches the Rfam family "Bacterial small subunit ribosomal RNA", at positions 524 to 776 of the family's 1533-position model. The record is from RNAcentral.